Molecule: ribosomal RNA, 775 nt
Filed under: uncultured Neocallimastigales
Lineage: Eukaryota; Fungi; Neocallimastigomycota; Neocallimastigomycetes; Neocallimastigales
Description: partial large subunit ribosomal RNA
Rfam family: Eukaryotic large subunit ribosomal RNA
Source: RNAcentral
GGUAGUCUCGCACAGAUGCAUAUCAAUAAGCGGAGGAAAAGAAACUAACAAGGAUUCCCCUAGUAACGGCGAGUGAAGCGGGAAGAGCUCAAAUUUGAAAUCUUAAAGGGUUUCCCUUUACGAAUUGUAGUUUAAAGAAGUGUUUUCUGUUGAGGUUUUGGUAAAAGUUCUUUGGAAUAGGACAUCAUAGAGGGUGAGAAUCCCGUAUUUGACCUUUACUUUCAACUUUGUGAUACACUUUCAAAGAGUCGGAUUGUUUGGGAAUGCAGUCCAAAAUGGGUGGUAAAUUUCAUCUAAAGCUAAAUAUUGGCGAGAGACCGAUAGCGAACAAGUACCGUGAGGGAAAGAUGAAAAGAACUUUGAAAAGAGAGUUAAACAGUACGUGAAAUUGUCAAAAGGGAAGCGUUUGACACCAGUGUUGUUUUUCUGAAAAUCAAUUAAAGAACUGUUUAUGCUAAGCUGUUUAGACUUUAUCAGCUAUCUGUUUAGUUUUGAGCUUUUCUUUAAUGCACUUUUCAGUUAACAAGUCAACAUCAAUUUCUUUUGCUGUAAAAAAGCUUGAGGAAGGUGGCUUGAGAUUCGUCUUAAGUGUUUAUAGCCUCUUGCCUAUGCAGUCGGAGAGAUUGAGGCCUGCAGCGUAGAUCCUUCGGGGCUAAAUGCAUUUGUGCUAAGUUAUAGCAUUUUAUAGACAACUUGUUGACUAUGAUUUGUCUUGUAGCUUACUCGCUUAUGUUAUUUUACCUACGCUUAGAAUGUUGAGUAGCGACAUACGCAC